Molecule: ribosomal RNA, 690 nt
Filed under: uncultured Acidobacteriota bacterium
Lineage: Bacteria; Pseudomonadati; Acidobacteriota
Description: bacterial SSU rRNA
Rfam family: Bacterial small subunit ribosomal RNA
Source: RNAcentral
GAUCCUGGCUCAGAAUCAACGCUGGCGGCGUGCCUAACACAUGCAAGUCGCACGAGAAAGCGGGCUUCGGCCUGCAAGUAAAGUGGCGCACGGGUGAGUAACACGUGAAUGAUCUACCUCCGAGUGGGGAAUAACCUAGAGAAAUCUGGGCUAAUACCGCAUAACACUUACGAGUCAAAGCAGCAAUGCGCUUGGAGAGGAGUUCGCGGCAGAUUAGUUAGUUGGCAGGGUAAUGGCCUACCAAGACGAUGAUCUGUAUCCGGCCUGAGAGGGCGCACGGACACACUGGAACUGAAACACGGUCCAGACUCCUACGGGAGGCAGCAGUGGGGAAUUUUGCGCAAUGGGGGAAACCCUGACGCAGCAACGCCGCGUGGAGGAUGAAAUCCCUUGGGAUGUAAACUCCUUUCGAUCGGGACGAUUAUGACGGUACCGGAAGAAGAAGCCCCGGCUAACUUCGUGCCAGCAGCCGCGGUAAUACGAGGGGGGCAAGCGUUGUUCGGAAUUAUUGGGCGUAAAGGGCGCGUAGGCGGUUUGACAAGUCUGAUGUGAAAUCUCUGGGCUCAACCCAGAGUCUGCAUUAGAAACUGUCGGGCUUGAGUAUGGGAGAGGUGAGUGGAAUUUCCGGUGUAGCGGUGAAAUGCGUAGAUAUCGGAAGGAACACCUGUGGCGAAAGCGGCUCACUGGACC